Long non-coding RNA from Cervus elaphus (red deer), 14144 nucleotides. RefSeq lists it as uncharacterized. The record is from RefSeq and is a predicted model, not a curated record. The transcript has 3 exons. NCBI's taxonomy places the organism in Eukaryota, Metazoa, Chordata, Mammalia, Artiodactyla, Cervidae.
CUUGUCCGACCCCAACCCCUCAGUCCCAGCUCAGUGAAACUAACCCUGAAGCUGCCCGGAAGGGCAAGAGCGGAAGGCGCUGGGGACCGGCGGCCGGGCCCGGGGUUCCUGCCCCUGCCCUCUCCUGCUCCCCAACAGAGAUCUUCAUGACUGGAAAAAUCUGCCUGGAGAGGCCAGAGCCUAGAAGCCAGUGAAAAGAAUGCCUGGCACCUUUCCUGCCAGCUCCUUCACACCUGGUCCCAAAAUUCCCAGGAGUGCUCCUUGACCUCAGAGGCCCAACAGGCAAACCCAGAUUGGUGUUUCUAUCCUAGACAAGAGUCAACUCUCUUCUGGGUUUUGAUUUUGUCUUUGUUUUAUUUUGUUUUUGUGAAUGAGUGUGGCCUGGCCCAGCUGUCCUUCCAAAGCCUCUCUCUGGCCCUAGAACUCAACUACAGGAGCAAAAAAUCUAUGGAAAGCUUUAGGGCAAAAUCGAAUGACCCUUCCUAAAUGCCUACAGAGUUAAAGCAGAAAGAAGAGGGGAUAAUUUUAAGUCCCAAAGCCUGAGUUCUCAGGGUAGAGCCACCGAGAGAGGUGAAACAUCCCAAACGGAAACGAUGGGGCGCGACUUGGGUUUCUCAAAGUUGUGGUAAGUUUAGCUUUACAAGUACCAGCGUAUGAGUUCUUUAAAUCACCCAGCACUGGGGAAUCUGGGGAACAAGACAGACCCCGCCGACCAGGUACAGGCUUCUGGCAGAAGGCCAAAAAAAGCGACAUUAUCAAGAUCUCCGACAUCCAAGGCCCUAAUACUGGGCCGCGGUGGACCUUCGGCGGAAGAACGGCGGAAUCCUCUUUAGAUUUUAUCUAAUAAACUGAUAACCAAAGUAGAUUGAUAAGGCGGAACCCCGAGCCAAUCACAACAUUAAUCCCUAAAGGAAAGAAACUAAAGUUUGGGGUCUCGGUGCCGCACUUCAGGCUGUGCAUGGGUUGACACGUGGCCCUCGGGGGCGGGAGUGAGCCCUCAGAGUUUCCUUUCAAGCCACUGGCGCUGCAGUACUGAGCAGGGGGCAAGGCAAAGAGCGCUGCAGAGAGUUGAAGUGCCGGACUCUCCACCUGGUCCGCACUGGCCUGCGGGCUCCAGGAAGUUCCGAAAGGAGCCGAGGAAACCUAGGCACCGUGGCCAGAUCCCGGCACACUAGGGCUCACUUUCCCCGGGGGUCGGAGCCCCGCGCUGCGCAAGAAGCCGGGCACCGAGCACCGGGAACCAGGGAGGGAAGGAGGGGCAAGCGGUGGGAGCAGACUUACCUGCCCGCAGCUAUCGCUACCUCCGAGCUGUCCGGGUGUCCCUGCGCACGACAACCAGCAAAGACAACUCGGCUUUGCUAAGUUUGGCCUCGCACCUCCAGAGAAGAGGCGCGAACCGGCAAAUUAAAGGCGCGCUCGGUUCCUGGAGAGAGGUUCCCCUGAACUUGGGAAGGGGAGCGCAAUGAAUUCUGCUCAAGAAGUUAAUAUUUAAAGCACCCACGCAAAAAUCAAAACGACUGUUAAAGACUCGUAUUCUCGCCUUGAAAGUCUCCUUAAACCAGCCGGGAGGACAAUUCAGAUCUACAUGAUUUCAUCCUAAGGUUUCUAACUUCUUUGAGGAAGGGCUUUAUAGGUACUGUAUAAAUAGUACAAAUAUAAAUGUCUUCCAAAACACGGAGAAUGAGAACUUUUACUGAAACGAAGAAUAAGUGAAAGAGUAUAAAAAGCCAAAAAGGAAGAAGUUGGAAACUUUAAUUACAGCCCAGAGAAAACUUUUAGCAAUUGAUUUCCUUAAACAGGAAUAACAAACACACCAACGACUCCAGCAGUCCAUCGCACUUCAUUUAAGUUUGGUGUAACCAAAUAACCCGAACUCCCAAAUAACAGUGCCCUUGGGACUCUGCCUCAAAGAGGUCGGAACUCAUGUUUCAACAACAAAAGCAAAAAAGCAAACUGUGAAUAAUGCUCUGCGUUCUUUAAGACGUCAUUUUGCAAAAGGACCAGGCAUUGUCCCUGGACUUUAAAUGGAUAGAGAAUAACAUUAAAUUUCAUUUGAAUCUGCGCAUCAUCAUAUUGGGAAGACCACAGCGGUAGCGACAGUAGCAGCAGCACCGCCACAAAGGAGGUGGGGAAAAGUGGUAAAAAUGCAUGAACUUUUUUCAAAGAAAAAUAAAGAUAAAUCAAAAAUAAGUUUUACAGACAUGUCUUUCCUGGCUUAGGAAAGUUAAUUUUUAAAUGUUCUCCUGCUGUCUAAGGUGCAAAGCCGAGUCUAGGGGAGUGCGUGGCUGGAAUCUGCAUGCUGAUAAGAGAAGGCUGAUGUACUUACAGUGACAGAGGGCAGGCUGCGGGAGAAAAGCUGUUUGUGUUAGCCUGCGAGUUACCCAGGGCUGCAGUGAGAGCAGAAGGGAGGAGUGGGAGUGCCAGUCUGCGUACACCUUCACCGCGUCUCAUUACAUCUGCCAGCCUCUCUCUCCCUCUCUCUUUCAUUUCCACAUUCCCUUUGUUCCUGAAAAAAAAAUCUACACGUCACAUCAGAGUCCCCAGAUGCAGUCUACACCAAAGAAAAAAAAAUGAAUAAUUCAAUCAAACUGUGCAUAGUCUCUAAGGCAAUAAAUCUAUUGCACUUAAAGAAACGAAGGGUAAUUACCACCAUGGAAUUAGAAUAAGGCCAAAGACCCGAGAUGUCGUUAAGUCUCUGGGUAAACUCCCCGGUCAAAUAAAGUUUCAUUUAUUUAAUCCUUUUGACAUCUCAAAUGGAAAGUCAGAGAAAGAUUUUAACUUGUUUUAGAAGGAUAUUCACUUAUCUUUAAACACAUUUUUAGAAGGGGGGGAGAAAGCGCCUCGGGCAUACUACCCUGCUGAAAAGGCUCCCAAAGGCAGCAGCACAGAGCGGGCACAAACAUGAACCAAGACAAUGUGUCCGUGGAGCCUGUCCAGGGUCAGUUUCUCCUCCACUCCACCCUCCUCCUCUCUCUCAUUAGACGAGGAUCGAGGAUCGCUCUCCACUCUCACCGGCCACCACCGAAGCUCGACUUGAGAGCAGCUGGAAUCUGGGAACGUUACCUGCAGCACCAGAACCUAAGAGAAAUCGCGAUUCCCUGCCACCAACAUCCCAUGCCAUCCCCAUGCACCCCUCCAAGUCCCGUAAUCAUCUACUUCUUCCAUCUGCCUAAGAGAAACUGUAAAAGGGAUUUUUUCCCCCCAUGACUGAAUGGAAGCUCUGUACUGUACCGACUUCUGGAUUUGCCCUGGGUUGAGUUUAGGGAAUGUCUGGAAAGAAAAAAAAAGGAGGGGUGCAGCUCAAGCCUUAUCCAAGUUACUCUUAAGGCUGUAUUAGACAGGAAAAGAGCCUACGGGAGAAACAGCUGGGAUGCACACUGACUUGGAAAUCUCAGUUCUAGGAACCGUGUCUUUUCAUCCCGGAGGUAAGACUGUGUGAUUCUCGCACGUUUAUCGUUUUGCUGUCUGUGUGUCUCUCUUACCCACCGGCAGGGACCUCUCCCCAUCGGGUCAGCCAGCAUGCACCCUAGAGAAGGACACAGCACGACAUAAGGCUUUCUUUUCCAGGUCUCUCCACUCAUAAAUUGUGGGCGUCAUUGAAACGAGAUUAGCAAAUCUUUUCCCGCUGGCGGCAGCCACCAGACCCUCUGUCCCUCUGCUGUUGCACCCUGGUCGCGGCAUCUCGGGUUACACAAUGGUCCGGAAGACCUAGCCUGCCGGGUCGCCUAUCCUGAGAGCUCAGGUGAUGCAGAGGAGAAUCUCGGCGUCCCAAACGGGUUCCACCGAGAGUUUCCACUCAAUACCACCUCCCGCCGCCUCUGUGCGUGCGGUAGCACGCACCCACAGACACACACAUAGACACAUACACGUUUUGCCAUCCUGGCCGAACUCUUCAUCUAAACUCAAGUCUCUUUAACAGUCAAUUCAGUCCGCUUGAGAGCAGCGGGAAAACUAGGAUGAUACGUGGAUGAACCGCGAGGGUGCCAACCGUCCGGCUUGGCCGAGCUUUGUUUACGUGCCUAAGUCGCCACCUUGAGGUCGAGCGGAAGACUGCGCCCGGCUCCCGGCUGUUGAGACCAACCCGGCGGACACCGGCCCCUCAGUCUCGGCGAAUGCCUUGGACCGCUCUAAAGAGAAGCAAAGGGAGGGCACCUCUCAAGCGGACUGUCUGAGCAAAGCAAGGCCUGCCCUCUGACACCCGGGUUGAGAGGAGUAAGGGCUAACACUGCAGGUUAGCUGAAACCAAUAGCAGGGAACCGAGCGAAGGCGCACUCUCCCAGCAAAGUGCAAAACCCGGGACCAGUCUGCAGAUGCAAGGCAGGCACUGCUGCCCUGAAACUUCAAGCACUCCCAGGGCAGUAGCAGAGGGUUGGAAGCAGCUUCGGAGAGGCGUAGCGGUAGCUCGGGUCCUGUUUGAGGACCAGGUUCCCUUUUGCGGCGACCUCGGCUCAGCUCGGACUUCGUACUCCCACGGGCUCCUCUCCCGCUUGCUCUCUACCCUCGGGGCCGGAAACAAAGGGAUUCAACCACGCAGCUAGACCCGAGGUCACUUAGCAGGGGGAUUCCAGGAUAGAACUACGUGAAGGAGAGGGAUGUGCUCAGGCAACCUGGCCGUCUGCAGCGACGACUGGAUACUUAGUGCUAAUAGUCACCCAUUUCUCAGGAAAACAGUCCUUCUGAUUGUCUAACAAUGGAUUCGGUAAAAUAAUAGUGAUUGUUAAUUAUAUCAGCAAUUUCCAACUUUCCCACCCAUACUUAUAUUGAAACCCUUUUCCCGCACACCGUUCUUCCUGUAUUCACGUCUUGCAUUAUAAAAAUACCAGGCUUAAGAAUACCCUAGCCAAAUUCUGAAAUAACUUGUGGUUGUUCUUUGUUGUGCCUGGACACUGCCUCCAAGGCAUGGGGACGUCUGCAAGGCCACUGCAAGUCCCAUCUCUUCUGUGAAAUGUGCCUUAGAACUGUCCUGGGAAUUUCCCUGUUACUUGGGUACACAGACAUUGUUUAAUAGUAAUGCUUUACAAAAGGAGAAGAAUAAUUUGACUUAUCUCCAAAAAGAGGACACUCAGGAACUAUCUUGUGCUAUAUGAGGCUAUAAUUCACUCCUUGCUAAUACCGACUGGGGCCUUUCAGUAGUUUGGUCAGAAUAACAAGAACAGUAGUAGUAGAAGAAAUACAUUUUAUAAAAAGAACCACAGCGACCUAAUGCUGAUGAUGGACAACAGGAAAUGUCUUUUCAAAGAAGAGAAGCAACAGGCCCCCAAGCCAGACGCAAUUCUGCUGUUUCGUACUACAACCUAGCAAAUUAACAUCCGAUUGCUCCUUCACUUGUGUGGAAAGCUGAGUGUUAUGGAAUACAGUAUGGAAUUUUCCCAGGGAAUCCCAAUUAUAGAAACACCUGUGCUAAGUAAUGCUAUUUUAAUCCACUAUGAAAACCUUAAGUAUGUAAUAGCCCUCAAAUCAUCUCAUUUCUUAGUCACAUGGGGUGGGCCAACCUCAUGGAAGAAAUGCCCCAGAGCUUUAUCUCAGGGGGUUUUGCCUUGGUUUUACCAUACAUAAUCCUGACAGUUCACCUCUUAAAUGGAAGGGAUAUAUACAUGAAGUCUACUGUAACUGGCAGAAACUAAGCCUGGAUAGAAGCCUCACAAAGAAAAAUAAAAUCAAAGGCCAAUGACUACAAAACUGGAACACAUGGCACAUGUGCAGUCAGACACCAACUCCGUGAUCUUUAAAUCAAAUCCUAAUAACAUAGGAGAAGUUGUCACUGUUCUGUAUAUACAUUUCAUUUUAGUACAGAGUAUCAAUGGCAAAAUAUAGUGAAAUAAAACCACCAUAAAAAGGAAUGUGGUAGAAACCAAAAAAUUAUAAACCUCUAUCAAUUCCCCCCAAAAUACACAUCAGACCUAAUAUUUUAAAAUGCCAAACCUAAUAUUUUUGAAAUGCUAUAUGAAAAAAAUUAUUUAUUAAAGUAAUAACUUAUAGCUUAAGGCUGCCAAAACUAAUAUCACUAAAACAUCCAUAUGAAAAGUGAAAUAUUUAUCAGUUAUCCAAAUGUUUGUCUUAUAAAGAUACAUAGAAUUGUUUUUCUAUUAAAAGUGAUCUAGAAAAUACUAUAGGUAGGCAUGAAAAUUAUAAAAAUCACAGAGAGGCAAAAAUAUGAUAAAGAGUAAUCAUAUGAUAAAGAGUAAUGAUAGAUUAAAUCAAACACAGAAAUAAAUUUAUUCACUAAAAUUCAACAUAUCCCACAUGAUAGCAUCCUUCUAAGGUAACAUGUCACCUUUUCAGCAUCCGGUAAUAUUAUUAAAGCAUUUACAUUCCUUCAUAUGUGCCACUCUCUACUUAAAGAAACAUUUACCUCUGCCCAAAUCUGAGGUUUACAAUUCACUAAGAUGACUAUCACUCCAUUCAUUACACAUUUAGCCACACUAGAUACAUCUGAUAAAUCAUACAGACCCAUUCCAAUGCCUAAUAAAAGACAAGCAAAGGACACAAAAACAAUGCUGUAAAAUUGUUCACUGAUAAAUAUCAAAUAAUAAAACAACAAUUUGCUAAUAUUACUAGUCUUUAAAAGUUUGAUCAUUUACCUUAGAAAUUUUAUGCUUUCUGUAUGUAUUAGCAUUGUUUUAAAAACCUGAAUUUGCCUAAAUUAUAUAAUUUUCUAAAAUUUAUUAUUUAGAAAUCUUUCUUUCAAAUCCCAGAUUGUUGAUUUUAAUAUUUCUAAAUAGAGGAUUUCUGUGUGUGUGUGCAUUUUUAAAUAUCACAGUUACAUUGAAGACUUUUGCUGUUUUAUACAUUUUUAAUUCACAAAUUAAAUAUUUAUUGAGUGUCUAAUAUGUGCAAAGCAAAUAAUUAAAAAGUGCAUUAACUGAGGAUCUAUCUUUUGCACUUUUCUAAUUUAAUAAAUGUUAGUUAAAAGCCUUUUGUACAUAUAUUGAAAAAAAUUUUUUUACCAAAUAUCAGCAGAAAUAUUCUGUUCAAUAUAAGUACAUUUGAUAGUUACAUAUGAUGUUAGUUCAUUUUAUUUGGCAUAUACUAUUUAAGCUACCUCAGAUAUUUUUAUAAACCAACAAGCUAUCACAUUUCUAAAAGCUUUUCUAACUUAUCAAAAGAUAUAUCUUUUAAAAGCUUUAUUUAGAAACAGAAUCUACAGUUAUAAACCAAUUCCAAAUAACAUAUUUUAUAUAUUUUAAUUUUAAAUGAGUACUAAAAGAAACUUCAUAACUUCAAAUUGAUCUGUAAUUGCUAUUCAAAAUUAUUCUAUAACUUUUUAUGUUUUAUGUCUCUAACAUGUAGCAUAAUUGUACAUAUAAGAUAAAGAUAUUAUCUAUCAAAAGGGAAGCAAAUGAAAGUUAAAAUAUAAUUCGGUGUUCCAAGUAUCUGGAUGUUUACUAUUACUGAAAUAGCUCAUUGAAUUUUAUUGAAUUUUUAAGUUUUCAUCAAGAUGUUUUGCAUGAGGUUUGAAUGUUUUAUUUUUAAGGUGAGGGGACGGGGACAGACAACAAUAUUGAGAAUAUGCAACAAUGAUCAUCCUCAUGUUAAUUCAUGUCUAUUUAAGACAAUAAUGAGAGAAAAGCUUCACUUAUUCAUACUUAAAGUUCUAGAAUAGUAGGCUUCUGGAGAAAACAUUUAAACUCAAGAGCUCAACACAAAACCUCUUUUAAUUAUAUUCAAUAUGUUAUCAAUCUACUUUCAAAGUUGAUGAAGUUUAGUACUAAACUGAAUAUUAAGCAAAUAAGUGUUAACUAUGUUCACUAGAAUUAGCAUAUUUCAGAUUAUAGUUUAUAAAUUUUUAAGAGCAUCAGCAUCAUGAUAUGGUUACCAUAGAAACUGCAACAAUAUGUCAUUUUGAUUAAUUUUAUAUGCAGUGAUAAGGCCUAGUUCUACAUUACUUCAAUAUAAGUUUGAAAAGCAAUAUAAAUAGUGAGUAGUGAGUUUCCAAUUUAUACUAGUUUAGAAACUAAUAAAGUACAAACCUUUUAAAAAAGAAAAAUCCACAAUGCAUUCUAAUAGCCUGAAAGGACAGCAGUUUAGAUAAGGUUAUAAGAUAUUUUUAAAUGGAUACAUUCUGAAAUAAAAAGUUUCAGUAACAAUCAGCUACUUCUCUUAGUAUUCCAUACUCUUGCUACUUAGGUUUAUUUAUGGAUACCAAAAUUAUUGGUUACUACAUAUCACUUAAUUAUUAAGUUAUGAGUGUUCUUUCUGUUCUCAAGAGAUAGGUGCAUUUGGUUUUACAUUAUAAAUUCAAAAAGACUAGAGCAGAAUUUUAAUAUUUUUAAAGUAAUUAUUAUAACAGAUCCCUUUCAUUUAGAAGUAAGACACAAUUACAAAAGUCUUAUUAUAUCACUGCCAGAAAUAUUCCAUUGACAUUAAUGGCUUGAUUAUUGGAACAGAAAAAAAAACUAUAAAUAAAGAAUACAUUUUAUAAAGAAUAAAUAUGGCAAGAGAUUUGGAGCUCUAAGUUAUAUGCUCAUUGGCUAACAAAUAUCUUUUCCUUGUAUUUUCUAUCAUUGCAUAUUUUGAAAUGGAAUAUGCCCAAGAGAACUCUGAAAAUAAUUUGAAAAGGCACACUAUAUUUAAAUCUAUACUUAUUAUGCAUCUUUCCUAGGUAUAAUAUAGACUGUGUUGCUAAUAAUUUCAAUGAAUUUCUACAGGGCAAUGUCCUCAAACUAGCUAAAAAAUAUUAUAUUCUUAAAAGUGAUUUUUUAGAAAAUAAAUGAAGGCAGUAUGUGUGUAUUUUUUUCCAAAUGAUAAAGAAACAAUCCAAGGAGGAAAUGAUAAACAUAUACAACUUAUUCUUCUUGAUAGGAUUAAGAGGAUUGCAAAGAAGCUUUUAAAUCCCCAGUUUUCCUGACAAUUAACAAUGAAAAACAGAUGUUUACAAAGCUGUUUCAUAUGCUGUCUUUAAAGGCGAUAAAAGAUGGUUUGUGGAUAGUAAGAACGAAGAGCCAGAUAACUGCUUGCCGGGUGUAUAUUUAAAAAGCAUUUUCAUUGGCUCAGUUAUUGUUAAUAGUGAAAGAAAACACUUUGUGCUGCACAUACUGUAUGACUGUGAGUAUAGAAAACUGCCUUCAUAAAGUCCUCAAAAACUCUUAAGAUGUAAUUUACAAAGAUAAUAAUAACACAGAAUUAUUUCACUUCUCUGAAUGCUACACAUUUGCAUACCAGGACUGUGUACAAUAUACUCAUAAUGCACAUUCAUAAUAACAAGGACUUCUUAACACUGUAACUACAGCAUAAGAUCUGUGCAUUAGCCAGUCUAUCCUACCAAGUUUUACUUAUUGGUAUGAAAGUGUUAGUCUAAGUAAGCCAGGUGUUAGCUGUCUACAAAAGGGAAGACCACUCUAUUAACCACUACAUCACCAUUGUGAGAAAAUCCGGUGAUAAAACUAAAAAACAUGUGACCCUGCAAGGCAAUAACAGCAUUAUCCAGCAAUAUAUUGAAAAAUGUCAAAUGAAUAUUUUAAGUUAUAUGUCAAAAUCAUAGGCCUAUACUGCAAAAAAAAAAAAAAACCCACAAAAUAUAACUACUGUUUAAUGUUUAAUUGAUUUUAAUAUACUAUUAUUUCUAGAAACAAGCACCAUGCUAGAUACUUUUUUAAAUGUUUAAUUUUUUAAAUAUUAGUUUGGGUAUUACUAUUUAGUGAAAACAACCUUAAUAAUAAGUCUUCUUCAUGAAGCAUUUGUCUCCUGCCUUCAGCAUAGUAACUGUAUAUUUGGUAUGCACUACAGAUACUUUGGACUUUCCAGGUUGCUCAGUGGUAAAGAAUCCACCUGUUAAUGCAGGAGAUGUGGGUUUGAUCCCUGGGUCAGGAAGAUCCCCUGGAAAAGGAAGUGGCAACCUAUUCCAGUAUUGCUGCCUGGAAAAUUCCAUGGACAUAGGAGCUUGGCAGACUACAGUCUAUGGGGUCACAAAGAGUCAGACACAACUGAGCAAUCGAGCAUUCAUGAGCAUGCAAUGCACCGAUACUUUAGAUAAAUUCAAAUUGUGGUUAUUGUCCAUGUUGUUUCUUGUUCAUAUUUAACAGAGAAUAAAUAUAACUUAACAAAUAAUAGAAAUAUAUUGUUUCUAUUGCCCAUAUGUGUUAUUUUAUAAAUUUACUACUGACAUUUUCUAAUCAGUCAAAAUGGAAAAUAUAUUUUUGGAACAAAGAAAGAAGGCAGGCAUAAUAUUACAGCAGUUACAAUAUGUAAGACUACUUGAAUGACAAAAACUGAGCAAAAAUAUCCAAUGAGAAAAAAUCCUGAAUAUAUUAAAAUAUUUACAUUUAUAAUUAAAAUUGUGCUUAAUAUGAAAAAUACAACAGAAGAUAAUUACUUAUCCUUAAAAUUUUAUUAAAUAUUUGGUAGCCCAUAGGCACUUAUUUAUGUGAAUAUUGUUAAAAUUGAAUAUAUUUUACUGUGAAGCUUGAAUUAUCUUCCAGAUACAAUAAAGUAUGAAAUAUGUUCAUGUAUUUGACUUUAUUCAAUUAAAAAUUUUUUAAUGUAAGUUGAUUAUUUACAUGAACACUACAACUUGAAUUAGGUCUAUGAUACUUAAACACAAGGAAUAAAGAAACUACCUUGAACUAGCAACAUUUUGGUCCUUGAAAUUAUUAUGGUUAGUUUAAAGAUUGUUAAAAUCAUCAACAGGCUUACCUAACCUACCCUUAACACUCAGGAUUAACAUACUAUACAAUAGGGAGAAAACUAUUAAAUUACUUCAGUGUUCAAAAUCAAUACUAGUGCAAAAUCUCUUAUCUGUUUUAAAUGUGUGAGAUUCCAUUGUUUUUACUUACAUUCUGCUUUCAAAGUAUUUUUAGAAUAACAUUUUAUCCAUUAAUGUUUAAGAAACAAUUUUGUAAAAUCAUUAAGGACCAUUUUGUCACUGAUAUUUCCUUAUGAGCAUAUAUUAUCUGUCUGAGCAUAAUAGAGAAAAUUGCAAUGACUUCCUGGGUGGCAAGAAGUGGAAUACACUGUAAUCAUCAGCAGUGAAAAACUACUGCAAGAUAUGCUCAAAAUUUUCACCAAAAUCAAGUAAUUACAUUUAAUAUCAGUAAAACUGUAUACAUAAGUAUGUGGGAUAGGUGAUCAAUAUAAUUGUUUUAGUUUUUAAUCUUUUGACUCAGAAUGUCAACAAUUUUGUGAUUUUUCCAAAUACAAGAAUAGGAAAAUCAAGUACCAACCCACCUUUCCUGGAAUAGGGACAUAUUGGUCUGAUCCAGAGAAUAUGAAACAGAGCUUGCUCAUUUCUUAUAAAUUCCAUUAACCUUUUCUGGCCUUAAUUUUAUUUGAGCCACCUCAGUCACCACUUUCUGCAUAGUUAUUUAAUAUACUAGUUCCCUUUUAUCAUUUGAGAAAUCAGAGCACCUGAAAUGUGAACUUUUUCAUUCUGCUUUCAUCUGUGUAACUGUAUUUGGAAGAGCAUACAGUCUAAAUUUUUUUCUACCAACAUGUACAAUUUCACCUUGGAAACUCUAAUAAGGUAUGUCCCAUAGUUAGCAAACUUGUUUUUGGUCUGUUUGCAAUUCACACACAGAGUAAUACAACAGCCAAUAUUCUACAGCUCUACAGUUACAUAUGGAGUGCUCAAGUACUGCUUACAGUUAUUUUGGAGUGCCCUUAAGUAAACCAAAAAUCCUAAAAUGAAAGAACUAAGAACAAUUUAUCUGAGCUACAUCCAGUGUGCAACUCCUGGGUGCUAAGAUCAAAGAAGAGUAAGAAAAAAGAAUCAUAGCCUCUGGAUUCCAUUAGCUCACAGUUCACAAUCACGACAAGUCAUUCAACAGAUGUAUUGAAAGAUACAUCAGAUACACUGAAAUGCACAGUCGUUCAUAUGUCACAAAAGGUAAAUACAACCUAGAAUUAGUGGGAAUAAUAUCUCAAUUUUCCAGACAGUAUAGAGCUAUAUGCAAAAAUGACCCAACAAGAUACCUGCAUGUAAUUUAAUAAAUCAGUUUCUAAAAUAAUUUAUACAAAUCAUUCAACUGCAGAAUUUUUUCAGAUUACCAAGUUUCUAGUGCCCUUUAACACAUCUAUUAAUAAUCCUUCAUUCUAAGUCAUUUCAACAACCUAGUUAGUACUUCUACAUAUACAGAAAAUAAAAGUAUCUUUCCGUAGCAGACAUCCUAAGAAUACCUAUAAACGGAGAUUCCAAUGAAAUACAAUCAGAAAGACAGAAAUCUUCACACUUCUUUUAAACCUGUGUGAAAUCAUAUGAUAUGACUCCUUUUUUGUUCAGAACCUGAUUUCUUUUAGGACCUAAAAAUAUACAUGUUUUCAUUUAUUUAUGACAAUCACUGAAAGGAGCAUUGCUAGAGCAUCUUAUACAUACUUUGAUUUUUAUUUUUAAUUAAUUUUUUGUUAAAGUAGUGUUUUAAAAGGGUAAAAAAAUAGAAUUUUACUAAAAAGCUUUUAUUAUAAAACAAUGGAUCUCUGUCACAACCUUCCUCUUCCCAUUCACAAGACCCAAAGACGAUCACUUUCAAGUCUUUUUGUAUUCAAAUCUUUUAGUAUUUAAUUGCACAUUUCUAACUAAUGUGCUUAUAAUGAUAUUUAAGCCUUGUACAUAAACUACUUUUUAAUUUAAAAUUUAAUCAUUCUUUAUCAUCUUAUUUUGGCGGGUGAAUAUUUAAUUCUUAGGUAUCAUUUUUCCCAUCCUCCCAAUAUAAAUAAUUAUGUAACAGCUCACUGACUUUAAAUCAAGCCAAGGCUUAUAUUAUCACACAAAGUAAAUCUUGUUUAUGACUGAGCCAAGUAGUAUACUAUAAAUAAAUGUCAUUUCUUUUAUAUAUCUUUGUUCUUCCUUAUUAAAAACCUAUUUACAAUAAUUCACUUAGUUUUAUGGAACUAUUAUUACUUUUUCCAUGUUUUCACCCAAAAGUGUUAUUUUUCCAAAUUGUCAAAUGUAUCAAGUUAACAUUUUUCUUGGAAACUAAUGGUUAAUUUUAUGUAUUGACUUUCCUGGGCCAGAGUGUCCAGAUAAUUGCUUGAACAUUUUUCUAGGUGCUUCUACAAAGGUGUUUUGGGAUAAGAUGAGAUGGUUGGAUGGCAUCAUUGACUCAGUUGACAUGAGUUUGAGAAAGUGAAGGACAGAAGCUUGCAGAAGCUUGGCUUGCUGCAGUUCAUGGGGUUGCAAUGAGUUGGACACAACUGAGAAACUGAACAACAAACUUUGAGUGAAGCAAAUGGCCCUCCAUUAUGUGGGUAAGCCUCAUCCAACGUGCUGAAGACCUGAAAAGAACAAAAAGACUGACCCUCCUCUAAGUAACAGAGGAGUCUCCUGCAGACAGUCUUCGGACUUGAACUAGAACGUCAGCCUUUCUGGGUCUCCAACUUAAUAGCCUUUGGACUAGAAUCGUGGCAUCAGCCCUCAUGGGUCUCCAGCCUGCCAGCCCAUCCUGCACAUUUUCAGCCUCUGUAAUCAUGUUUCUCAAGAGAUGCAGCAGCCGAAAAGAGCUACCACAUGCCAGAGGUUGGGGCGGCGGCCGAGAGGAACUACAUAUAUAUGUAUGUAUGUAUAUAUACAUAUAUAUGUGUGUGUAUAUAUAUAUAUAUAUCUGUAAAAGAUAUCUGGUAAAGAAUUUUUAUCAAAAGUAUACAAAGAACUCUUAAAACUCACCAAUAAAAAAACAAAUAAUUUAAUGUUAAAAUGGGCCAAGGACUUUAACAGACGUGUCUUCAAAGAUAUACAAUAAUAAAUAAACACAUGAAAAGAUGUUCAACAUCACAUGUCAUCAGGGAAAUGCAAAUUGAAGAACAAUGAGAGACCACUACAUGCCUAUUACACUGGCCAAAAUCUAAAAACCUGACAAUACCAAAUGCUGGUGAGGAUGUGGAACAAAAGGAACUCUCAAUCAUUGCUGCUCGGAAUGCAAAACAGUAUAGCCACUCUGGAAGACUCUUUCUUACAAAACUAACCAUAUUCUUACCAUUCAGGCCUGCAAUCACACUCCUUGGUAUUUACCCAAAGGAACUGAAAACCUAUGUCCACAAAAAACCUGUACAUGGAUUUUAUAGCACCUUUCAUAAUUGCCAAAACUUGGAGGCAACCAAGAUAUGUUUUAGUAGGUGAAUGGAUAUAUAUAAAUUUCUUAAGUAUUGCAACUAAAAGGCAGAGCUUGUCAGACUGGAUAAAAAGGCAAGACGCAACUAUAUAUUGCUUACAAGAA